GCCAUGGGACGACUCAUGGCGUUGCGAGUUCCCGCGGGACGACCCGC
This 47-nucleotide non-coding RNA is filed under the name Salinisphaera hydrothermalis. RNAcentral's name for it is "Guanidine-II sequence". It matches the Rfam family "Guanidine-II riboswitch aptamer (mini-ykkC)". Rfam says of the family: Simpler in structure and has fewer highly conserved nucleotide positions than the ykkC-yxkD leader. Despite this each of its two stem-loop structures directly bind free guanidine. RNAcentral also lists the same sequence under 1 other name. Lineage: Bacteria; Pseudomonadati; Pseudomonadota; Gammaproteobacteria; Salinisphaerales; Salinisphaeraceae. The record is from RNAcentral.